CAUUAAUACACUUGAAUAACAUUUACAUUCUUACGUUACAUACAAAACAGAUAAGACACAAAGUUCACUGUCCAUAUUCAUGAAAGCUAAACCCUCCUCUUGAUUGGAAUGCUACUUAAACCAUGAUUUCAACAACAACUUGGGUGUCUUGUGCUGGUACGUAUGUACUUGUUUAGUCUGAUAUUUUACAUGAAUGCGGCUGUAAUUCAUUGCCUUGUAAACCAUUCUUUUAUUAGAGACACAGUGCGUUCCAGAUGCGUUCACACUUUUUUUCAGCUACUCCAUGGCACUGGUCGGUCAGUGCUAGCAACUGGCUAAUUCUCAGAGAUUAGACUCAUUAAAUUUAACGUCAGUAAUAUUUUUGUAUUUAU
Molecule: non-coding RNA, 371 nt
Organism: Pelobates cultripes (western spadefoot toad)
Lineage: Eukaryota; Metazoa; Chordata; Amphibia; Anura; Pelobatidae
Source: the annotation of a GenBank genome assembly